RNAcentral lists this ribosomal RNA (253 nucleotides) under uncultured bacterium. RNAcentral's name for it is "partial 16S ribosomal RNA". It matches the Rfam family "Bacterial small subunit ribosomal RNA", at positions 524 to 776 of the family's 1533-position model. The record is from RNAcentral.
UACGAAGGGGGCUAGCGUUGUUCGGAAUCACUGGGCGUAAAGCGCACGCAGGCGGAUCGUUAAGUCAGGGGUGAAAUCCCGAGGCUCAACCCAGGAACUGCGUCCGAUACUGGUUGGCUUGAAUCCGGGAGAGGGAUGUGGAAUUCCAGGUGUAGCGGUGAAAUGCGUAGAUAUCUGGAGGAACACCGGUGGCGAAGGCGACAUCCUGGACCGGCAUUGACGCUGAGGCGCGAAAGCCAGGGGAGCAAACGGG